This 253-nucleotide long non-coding RNA is filed under the name Anser brachyrhynchus (Pink-footed goose). Its description in RNAcentral is "lncRNA (ENSABRG00000001843.1)". Lineage: Eukaryota; Metazoa; Chordata; Aves; Anseriformes; Anatidae. The record is from RNAcentral.
UUACUCCACUGAGCAACUGUACAGUCGUAUUGCUCUAACCCACAAUGGCUUUCUCCUGCCUGUAGCCAAGAGGAGGUCUUGUCACUGUGGAAGAUCCAAAGAAUCAAAAUCUACCAAUUAUUGCUUCAACUGCUUUUGUGCAAGUAAAGCUAAAUAUUCUAAGACAGUUCCAGAAGUGUGAAGAAAUAGUCAUUGCCCAACAUAACAGUAAGAUCACUGACCUUGAAAACAAUUUGCUAGUUAGCCCAAACAU